RNAcentral lists this ribosomal RNA (405 nucleotides) under Triticum aestivum (bread wheat). Its description in RNAcentral is "partial small subunit ribosomal RNA". The record is from RNAcentral. Lineage: Eukaryota; Viridiplantae; Streptophyta; Magnoliopsida; Poales; Poaceae.
AUGAUAGAGGACGACUGCGCCGACAACGGCAUCCCGCUCCCCAACGUCGACUCCAAGAUCCUCUCCAAGGUCAUCGAGUACUGCAAGAAGCACGUCCAGGCCAGCCCCAAACCGGCUGACUCCGGCGCCGCCGUCGACGCCAGCUCCUCCACCUCUACUGCAGCAGCCGCCCCCACCGAGGACCUCAAGAGCUUUGACGCCGAGUUCAUCAAGGUCGACCAGAACACCCUCUUCGACCUCAUCCUGGCUGCAAACUACCUCAACAUCAAGGGAUUGCUCGACCUUACUUGCCAGACUGUUGCAGACAUGAUCAAGGGCAAGACUCCGGAGGAGAUCCGCAAGACUUUCAACAUUAAGAAUGACUUCACACCAGAGGAGGAGGCGGAGAUCCGCAAGGAGAACUAG